AUCAAGGUGGCAGAAUUAAAUGCGUCAGACUUAAAAUUUGGAGAUAAAUGGAUUUUUUCUUGAUA
This 65-nucleotide transfer RNA is filed under the name Panopea abrupta. Its description in RNAcentral is "tRNA-Leu". It matches the Rfam family "tRNA". From Rfam's summary of the family: Transfer RNA (tRNA) molecules are approximately 80 nucleotides in length. Their secondary structure includes four short double-helical elements and three loops (D, anti-codon, and T loops). The record is from RNAcentral. Lineage: Eukaryota; Metazoa; Mollusca; Bivalvia; Adapedonta; Hiatellidae. RNAcentral also lists the same sequence under 2 other names.